This 374-nucleotide long non-coding RNA is filed under the name Setaria italica (foxtail millet). Its description in RNAcentral is "long non-coding RNA (SITA_LNC001678)". The record is from RNAcentral. Lineage: Eukaryota; Viridiplantae; Streptophyta; Magnoliopsida; Poales; Poaceae.
AAUAUGCUAUUCUCCAAGUUGAAGCUGGACGCCCCCUCAUUCCAACCAUCGGCCUGCCAUGUCUGUUUAGUUUGUCCUUCGUGCAGAUCCAUUUCACAUCCCAAGUCAACAUGGUGAGGUGUCGGUGUCAUACCUGAUCUCAGGGUUAUCGCAAUUCACAUUCCAUCCAUAUCUCCUUCGAUAUGUCAUCCAUGCAGGCUCAUUUUAUUUCAGUAACCUUGUAAACAUUCCAGGUCACUUUGGAACCUCUUCUGUCACAGUACCAUGGCCAAGAGUUGCCCAUGCCUCAUAUCAGCAUGCCUUCGUCACAAUGGAUCCCCCACUCAUUCUGGAACACCACUGUUUAGCGCAUUGUUCUGAAGAUCGGAGUCCAA